RNAcentral lists this ribosomal RNA (484 nucleotides) under uncultured bacterium. RNAcentral's name for it is "partial 16S ribosomal RNA". It matches the Rfam family "Bacterial small subunit ribosomal RNA", at positions 30 to 507 of the family's 1533-position model. The record is from RNAcentral.
AUUGAACGCUGGCGGCAGGCCUAACACAUGCAAGUCGAGCGGAUGAAGGGAGCUUGCUCCUGGAUUCAGCGGCGGACGGGUGAGUAAUGCCUAGGAAUCUGCCUGGUAGUGGGGGAUAACGUCCGGAAACGGGCGCUAAUACCGCAUACGUCCUGAGGGAGAAAGUGGGGGAUCUUCGGACCUCACGCUAUCAGAUGAGCCUAGGUCGGAUUAGCUAGUUGGUGGGGUAAAGGCCUACCAAGGCGACGAUCCGUAACUGGUCUGAGAGGAUGAUCAGUCACUGUGGAACUGAGACACGGUCCAGACUCCUACGGGAGGCAGCAGUGGGGAAUAUUGGACGAUGGGCGGAAGCCUGAUCCAGCCAUGCCGCGUGUGUGAAGAAGGUCUUCGGAUUGUAAAGCACUUUAAGUUGGGAGGAAGGGCAGUAAGUUAAUACCUUGCUGUUUUGACGUUACCAACAGAAUAAGCACCGGCUAACUUCGUG